RNAcentral lists this transfer RNA (86 nucleotides) under Candidatus Actinomarinales bacterium MED-G02. RNAcentral's name for it is "tRNA-Leu". It matches the Rfam family "tRNA". Rfam says of the family: Transfer RNA (tRNA) molecules are approximately 80 nucleotides in length. RNAcentral also lists the same sequence under 1 other name. Lineage: Bacteria; Bacillati; Actinomycetota; Actinomycetes; Candidatus Actinomarinales. The record is from RNAcentral.
GCGGAUGUGGCGGAACUGGUAGACGCGCUGGAUUUAGGAUCCAGUGAGCUUUGCUCGUGGAGGUUCGAGUCCUCUCAUCCGCACAA